CGUGUUUGUAUGCUAAAGGUAUUAAGUUAUAUAAUUUACAGCGGUUAUUUAUUACGGGAUAUUUCUAUAUUGUAAUUAUAGCAUCUUUGUACAUGCAUGCAUGAAUAUCAGAAUAUUCUAAAAUAUUAAUUAUGGGUAUGUUAAAAUCUUCUAUGGAGGCAAUUUCUUGAAUGUCUUUGAGGUUUAGAGUAGCAGAAUAAAAGUGUCCUGUUUUAGCAAAAUUAAUGGUAUUCGUGAUUGUUUCUAAUUCCUUGUAAACUUCUGUAAUAAUUAAUUCUUCAGUAAUUGACUUUGGGUCUAGUGUUUCUAGUAUUUUUUCAAAUUGACUGUUAAUCUUCCGUUGUUGAUUAUUGUUUUCUAUCAACUGAUUGAGUUCUGUCUUGAUCUCUAUAAGGCCGUCAUGGUCAGGAGUACCGGUGACAAACUUGAGAAUAGAACCUAACAAGUUUAAUGAGCGUUUGAGUCUACGAUUAGAAGGUAUAAGCUGUGUCUUAAGCGCCUCUAAUUUAUUAGUAAGAAUUAUUUCUUCUUUUUUUCCUGCAACGUAUUUGGAUUUCAUGAUAUUCUCGUAUGGACCUUCGAUAAUUGACAAGUUUGCUACGUGGUACAGAAAAGACAUAUUUUCAAAUAGGUAGACUGGAUCGGUCUCCGUUAAAACAUACUUCUUGAAUUUAAGAUCUGUGAUUAUAUCAGAAUGGGAUAUAACAAAUAAUAAAAAUAGAUUAAUUAAUACCGUCUCGGAUCGCAUUAUGUGGCUUGUUUGCGGAUGUUGUCCUUAUGAAUAAUUUUCCCUCUCGUUGUAAGGAUCGUGUCCCCGCGAUCUUCCUUAACUUUGUGCUGAUUAUAUCUUUUAGCAAUUUUAUUCCUGCGAUCUGUUUUGGAAUAUAUGAUAUCUUCUGGUUUAUAGGUGACUUUUCUUCGUCCUUUGUUGUGGUAUAGCAAUAGCUUCUCCUGAUUGUUCUGAAGGAUUUCUUUAAUCUCGGGAUACUUUUCGCGUUUAAAGAAAACUACUUCAGGUUUGAGUCCUGUAGACGAGUGAAUUGUAGAAUUAUAUUGUCGGAUGGCUUUAAAAAGUUCUUCACCUGGAGUCGUAUUAUUUUCACUAGCUAAACUCGUACUGAUUUCAAUCAACGUACUGUGCAACCGUUCUACUUGAGCGUUAGUUGUCGAGUGAUUUAAUGGUGUGGCAGUAUGUUGUAUAUGUAGCCGAGUAUAAACGGCCUUUGCCAUGUUCCCUGCAAGACGGAGGUAACAGAUUGCACAAACACAUAGAAAUAUUUUCAGCUGGUCACUAACACUCUUACAUUUUCUGGAAUUUUCAAUUAAAUGGGAGAAUACGUAAGUAAGAUAGAGAAAACCUGUCGACAUUCUAAAUAUAUUCCAAUGUUAACUUGCUAGAAUAGGAGAGACGAAUACCCAAUUUUUCAAGAAGAAGAAAACGAAAAGCGCAGUUUAUUUUGGAUUUUAAAAGAGAGAAAACGAAAAGGCUUAACAACGAGAAAAAGAAAUCAUUUGGACCAUUUGUAAAAUUCAAAUCUAUUGCGUACAGCAAACAAAUAAGGGAGUAAGUUUUAAAUUAUUAAAGUUAAAUAGUGCAUAUUUAUUAUUAUUAUUGACAGUGAAUUUUUGUGAAAUAUUUUGUUAUAUCUACAUAUACAUAUAUAUGUAUAUGUAAAUGUAAAUUUAAAAUCUAAAUUGAGACGAAUUGAGCGGUUACAAUUAUAAUUGUGUAGAAUUUAGAAUACCGCCCCAGGAUUUCGGGAAUAAAAUUGGUAUGGUCGGUUAGAGGAGGUUCAAUCAAUAAUGCAAUCCUUAGUUUAAUAUUAAAAAAAAAAUCACACGAAUUAAUGAAGUGCUAGUGAACAUAAAAAUGCGAAAUUUAAGUGUAAAAUUAAUUUUAAAUCGAAAAAUACGUUCUUCAAAUAGUGGUAAUUUUCAGCUUUAAACGCAAAUAUCUCGAAUAUUCCCGCGAUAUAACUAUAUAUAUUUUUGAACUGGAGAACCUCCUCUAUAACUGAAAAUGUUCAUUUGUUCUGUUAGUAUGCAGAAUAUCUAAAAUUGUUUAAAAUAAAACAACAUUAGUGAUUCAUAAUGAAUAAAAGUGGACAUAGUUCCGAUACACACAUACGCAUUUCUGCUCCGAAGUAGGAUUUUAAAAAUUAAAAUUAAACUUCUUCAAGUUUACUUCAAGCAAAUUAGGAGAGUCUUUUCAAAAAAAGAUAUUUACAUUUUAAGUUUUUUAAACUAUUUAUAUAGUCUUGUCCUUAGUGCUAAAAUACACAACUUCUUUACUUGGAUGUUGAU
Bactrocera dorsalis (oriental fruit fly) is the source of this 2304-nucleotide long non-coding RNA. RefSeq lists it as uncharacterized. The transcript is spliced from 3 exons. The record is from RefSeq and is a predicted model, not a curated record. Lineage: Eukaryota; Metazoa; Arthropoda; Insecta; Diptera; Tephritidae.